ACAGAUGUUUACAAUGAUGCUGAGGAGAUACUCUCCAGUGCAUUCUCUGAGUGGGAGGUGAUUUUAUGUACAUCAAAUAGCCUGGAUCUGGUUUGGGCUCAAGUUUUAUCUGAUCCAUUUCUGCGGUGUCUUAUUAUCAGAUUUAUAUUCUGCCGUUCUGUCCUAUCAUACUUCUGUCCUCAAAGAGAUAAUGAGCAAUAUCUGCCUGUUUGCCUGCC
This 218-nucleotide unclassified non-coding RNA is filed under the name Hevea brasiliensis (rubber tree). Lineage: Eukaryota; Viridiplantae; Streptophyta; Magnoliopsida; Malpighiales; Euphorbiaceae. The record is from RNAcentral.